This 364-nucleotide ribosomal RNA is filed under the name uncultured bacterium. RNAcentral's name for it is "bacterial SSU rRNA". It matches the Rfam family "Bacterial small subunit ribosomal RNA", at positions 109 to 507 of the family's 1533-position model. The record is from RNAcentral.
AGUAACACGUUGGAACCUGCCCAAAGUGAGAUAGCCACGAAAGUGGUCUAAUACUUCAUAAUAUCCAUCUCGUAUGGAUUAAAGCUUUAUGCGCUUUGGGAGGGGCCUGCGUAACAUUAGCUUGUUGGUGAGGUAAAAGCUCACCAAGGCUUCGAUGUUUAACUGGUUUGAGAGGAUGACCAGUCACACUGGGACUGAGAUACGGCCCAGACUCCUACGGGAGGCAGCAGUAAGGAAUCUUCCACAAUGGGGCAACCCUGAUGGAGCAAUACCGCGUGCAGGAUGAAGCGUUUCGGCGUGUAAACUGCUUUUAUCACCGAAGAUUAUGACUGUAGGUGAAGAAUAAGGACCGGCUAACUACGUG